CUGCUCCUUCCAUCUCGCUCCAUCAGAGUUGAUGAUUCCUGUAAAUUAAGACACAUCGAUUUUAUUUUAAUGAAUUGCACACUAGAACGCGGUUUCCGGACCGAUCACGUUUUUAAAGUGCGGACUUCCGAUGAUUUUUCCGCAACCUUGAUCGACUGGUUUCUCGUUAGCGAAGUUCUUACUGGGGGCGGUCGUCAACCUGACCGACUGUUGAUAACCGCCCCAGGCGAGAAAGAAAACAUUUUACGAACGAAAAAGAAGAAGAAGAAGAAAAAAAAAAGAAUUACAUAAUCGGAAGCGCUUCUUCUUCUCCUCG
This 316-nucleotide long non-coding RNA is filed under the name Androctonus crassicauda. Lineage: Eukaryota; Metazoa; Arthropoda; Arachnida; Scorpiones; Buthidae. The record is from RNAcentral.